This is a long non-coding RNA of Cryptomeria japonica (Japanese cedar), 2031 nucleotides long. RefSeq lists it as uncharacterized. The record is from RefSeq and is a predicted model, not a curated record. The transcript is spliced from 3 exons. Lineage: Eukaryota; Viridiplantae; Streptophyta; Pinopsida; Cupressales; Cupressaceae.
CCCACCCAAAAAAAACUGUAAAUUGAAUAUGCAGAGUACUACUUACUUCACACUACCACUUAAAUAUCAUACCAAAACCACACUUCACAUACCCACGGGAAGGCAAAUGAAGUCGGCAAUACCAAAACCAAUGUUUGCAUAUGCCCCAUUUUCAUCAUAUAGUUUUGUAUCAGUGUCUAUAAACACUUUUUACUCCCUUUCAAUAUUUUGAAAGGAACUGCAUAAUAAGGUUCUUACAGUUUGAAAAACCCAUUCACGAUACAAACUGGCACAACAAAUUAUCAAAAAUAGAUUAAAAUAUCCUACUUUUUAGAGAUAGCAACACAGAAUCGUGAAUAUAUCCCCAUUAGUUAAUGUCAGAUUAAGCAAACUCACUCAAGCAGUACUGCUAUGAUGUCUUGGCACCGUGUAGCAGAGAAAGAAAUUGAAUGCUUAAUGUCAAGGCCACUGGAGCAGAGAAACAUAUUAGAAGGCACUCUUGAAUUCACUUUGCUUCAAUGGGAUGCUAAAUUCUUCCAAAUCAAUCCUCUUCAUCACUUUGGCUUUCUUCAGUAGACUAUUCUCAACAGCUCUCUGCAGCACCUACAAGAAGAAAUUCUUUCAGCAUCAAGUAAACACAACCAAAUUAAGGAAAAAUAAAAGCCAAAAUCAAGUACUUUCUUGAUACUUCUACAAGAGGCAUCUUUUGAACAACACCGGUAAAAACACCAUCUUCAUAUUCUUCAGCUUUCAAUACAUCUGUGAGAAAAAUCGAGGUAGAUGCCACUAAAGCCCUCAAGUAUAUCUAGGUAACAUAUCACACUCCCUCUUCUCAUAAAUUCCCCCUAUUAACAUCUCAGACAAAUCUCUACUCUACUCUGUACAAAACACCUUCUUGUGUCUGGAUAUGCUCACACGAUCUUAUUAUGAUCUCCUAUUGAGCUCUAAAAAUAAUUCAUAGAAUUGGCUGUUUGCACAGCUCCUAAUCGUUACCCCUGAAAUACAACAUACAGGGAAAAACAAAAAACAACUCAUUUUAAAUUCAUGUUGAAAACAGUUUCUCUUAGGAUACUCAAUUCACUGGGAAACCAUUCGCACCAGCACAUUAAUUAUCAGAAGCUCAAAAGUAUUGAAUUGCAGUCACUGUAAUGCUAGGUUAGCUGGUCAGUUGGAAUAGAAAGGAAUUAUUGAAUUGUUUAAGAUGUUAGCAGCUCUUGUAAGCACGAAAAACAGAAUGAACCACAAACAUUUAUAGACCAAGGGAGCACGCUGGCAGAUUCUACACAUUAUACUGUAUUGCAAGAUUGUAUAGGCGAAAUCUUUGGAAGAUAGAAAAAUUGUUCAUUCCCACAUGAUCAAAUCUGGACAUAACCAGGAAGUAUUUGCUCAAAACAGCCUUAUUAAUGUGUAUGCCAAAUGUGGAAGUUUGACAGGUGUAUCCCAAGUGUUCGACAAAAUGUCUGAAAUAAAUUCAUUCUCAUGGGCUUCAAUGACUGCAGCAUAUGUUCAGACGAGGCAUUUUGGACAGGCCUUGAAGCUAUAUUCUGCCAUGCAACGGAUAUACCUGAGGCGGGUUGUAUGAAGAGGCUCUAGAACUCUUUGGGUACAUGAAAAAAGAAGACUUGGAUUGAGACUAUACCACCAUGGCCACAGUUGUAGAGUAUGUGCAAACCUUUGAACAGGAUUGCAGGUUGUGGAGCAUAUCGGUUGAGGAAGUCGGUUUGCAGGGAGGCAGUCAUGUUUUAAAAUUAUCACAAAUCGGCAUGAAAAUUCUGCACGAAAUAAAUCUGACGUGGUAGUUCCGGCGUGAGGAUACUGAAUUCAGGUGGACUAUGUCCACCAUAUAUAGCCUACUAUUAGGCAAAUUCAAAAACCCAAUUGUAAGUUUUGACAAAUUUGUACAUACGACAUUGUACUGAAAAUUGAAAACUUAUAAGCAUUUGGAUUAAUUUAUUUAGUAUACUUUCAGAGAAGAUAGCGUAGAUCAAUUUAAUUGUUGUGCGAACCCAUUUACGAACUUAUUAGAAUAUGUUUGUUAUGCAUGUAGAAUCC